RNAcentral lists this transfer-messenger RNA (363 nucleotides) under Escherichia coli. It matches the Rfam family "transfer-messenger RNA". Rfam says of the family: Bacterial tmRNA, also known as 10Sa RNA or SsrA, is named for its dual tRNA and mRNA-like properties. Its role is to liberate the mRNA from a stalled ribosome. Lineage: Bacteria; Pseudomonadati; Pseudomonadota; Gammaproteobacteria; Enterobacterales; Enterobacteriaceae. The record is from RNAcentral.
GGGGCUGAUUCUGGAUUCGACGGGAUUUGCGAAACCCAAGGUGCAUGCCGAGGGGCGGUUGGCCUCGUAAAAAGCCGCAAAAAAUAGUCGCAAACGACGAAAACUACGCUUUAGCAGCUUAAUAACCUGCUUAGAGCCCUCUCUCCCUAGCCUCCGCUCUUAGGACGGGGAUCAAGAGAGGUCAAACCCAAAAGAGAUCGCGUGGAAGCCCUGCCUGGGGUUGAAGCGUUAAAACUUAAUCAGGCUAGUUUGUUAGUGCCGUGUCCGUCCGCAGCUGGCAAGCGAAUGUAAAGACUGACUAAGCAUGUAGUACCGAGGAUGUAGGAAUUUCGGACGCGGGUUCAACUCCCGCCAGCUCCACCA